GACGAACGCUGGCGGCGUGCUUAACACAUGCAAGCCGAACGGUAAGGCCCUUCGGGGUACACGAGUGGCGAACGGGUGAGUAACACGUGGGUGAUCUGCCCUGCACUUCGGGAUAAGCCUGGGAAACUGGGUCUGAUACCGGAUAGGACCACUGCCUGCAUGGUAGGUGGUGGAAAGCUUUUGCGGUGUGGGAUGGGCCCGCGGCCUAUCAGCUUGUUGGUGGGGUGAUGGCCUACCAAGGCGACGACGGGUAGCCGGCCUGAGAGGGUGACCGGCCACACUGGGACUGAGAUACGGCCCAGACUCCUACGGGAGGCAGCAGUGGGGAAUAUUGCACAAUGGGCGCAAGCCUGAUGCAGCGACGCCGCGUGAGGGAUGACGGCCUUCGGGUUGUAAACCUCUUUCAGCACCGACGAAGCGCAAGUGACGGUAGGUGCAGAAGAAGGACCGGCCAACUACGUGCCAGCCGCCGCGGUAA
Molecule: ribosomal RNA, 478 nt
Filed under: uncultured bacterium
Lineage: Bacteria
Description: partial 16S ribosomal RNA
Rfam family: Bacterial small subunit ribosomal RNA
Source: RNAcentral